RNAcentral lists this transfer RNA (292 nucleotides) under Phyllobacterium trifolii. Its description in RNAcentral is "tRNA-Arg". The record is from RNAcentral. Lineage: Bacteria; Pseudomonadati; Pseudomonadota; Alphaproteobacteria; Hyphomicrobiales; Phyllobacteriaceae.
GUCCACGUAGCUCAGUAGGAUAGAGCACAGGAUUCCUUUUAAAUUGGGCGUUAUGUUUGGAAACUUCAUAACGGAUCUGCUCAAAGUCGGGGAACGCUUCGCUGUCUUUCAGCAUGCCAAUCCCGAGCCAAGCCCCUUGCGGGGAAGGUGUAGAGACUGGAUGGGCAGCACCUAAAGGUUUUUGGCCAACGGUGAAGGGACAGUCCAGACCACGAACGUCCGAUGGGCGGCGGCGAAAGUCGAAGUGGUAUGAAUCCUGGGGUCGGAGGUUCGAAUCCUCUCGUGGACACCA